Molecule: long non-coding RNA, 909 nt
Filed under: Anas platyrhynchos platyrhynchos (common mallard)
Lineage: Eukaryota; Metazoa; Chordata; Aves; Anseriformes; Anatidae
Description: lncRNA (ENSAPLG00000025414.1)
Source: RNAcentral
GUAUGCUCCCAGUAAGAGCACCAAGAGCCCAGUAUGACCAGUAACUUGAGCCAUGGGUGCUCCUGGAGGUCCUGGGGAGGCUCCUUCUCCAUCAGGGACCUCAGGUGGGCACCAGUAGGAACCAGUAGAAACCAGUAUGCUCCCAGUAUGAACCAGUAUGCUCCCAGUAAGAGCACUAAGAGACCAGUACCACCAGUAACCCCCAGUAACGUGAGCCGUGGGUGCUGCUGGAGGUCCUGGGGGGCUUCCUUCUCCAUUAAGAACCUCAGGUGGGCACCAGUAGGAACCAGUAGAAACCAGUAUGAACCAGUAUGCUCCCAGUAAGAGCCCAGUAAGAGCAGUAAGCUCUUAGUAAGAGCACUACAAGCCCAGUAUGACCAGUAACUUGAGCCAUGGGUGGGCCUGGAGGGCUUCCUUCUCCAUCAAGGACCUCAGGUGGGCACCAGUAUGCUCCCAGUAUGAACCAGUAUGCUCCCAGUAAGAGCAGUAAGCUCUUAGUAUGACCAGGAAGCGCCCAGUAAAAGCCCAGUAUGACCAGUAACCCACAGUAACUUGGGCUGUGGGUGCUGCUGGAGUUCCUGCACCCUUCCCAGUGCUCCCAGUAACCCCGCCCAGUCCUCCCAGUGCUCCCAGUAACCCCUCCCAGUCCUCCCAGUAACCUCCCAGCACCUCUAAACCACAACCACCACCCCAAAACCCCAUUAAAACCGCCCCAAACCCACCCCAAACCCCUCCCAGUCCCUCCCAGUCCCUCCCAGUGCUCCCAGUAACCCCUCCCAGUCCUCCCAGUCACCUCCCAGCACCUCUAAACCACAACCACCACCUCAAAACCCCCCUAAAACCACCUCAAACCCACCCAAAACCCCUCCCAGUCCCCCCAGUAACCCCUCCCAGUAGCUCCCAGUUCUC